UCCAAGGGAAAAAAAUCAUGGUUCAUGGUUCCUUUCUUCAUGAUCCAAUGGCUAAGAGCUAAUUCGAGCAGUGUUUUGCCCAAUCGAAUGGUUUAGAGAGCUCGUGGGCAUGAUCAGAUGAUGGAUGGAUUUUUGAACUUUGAACAGGACUGUGAUUUCAAUUUAGAGUAGAUUUUGGGCCUAAAAAAAAGGUCUGAGAGAUUAUAGAGUAGGCAGA
Molecule: long non-coding RNA, 217 nt
Filed under: Elaeis guineensis (African oil palm)
Lineage: Eukaryota; Viridiplantae; Streptophyta; Magnoliopsida; Arecales; Arecaceae
Description: long non-coding RNA (EGUI_LNC051281)
Source: RNAcentral